GAUGAACGCUAGCGGGAGGCCUAACACAUGCAAGCCGAGCGGUAUUGUUUCUUCGGAAAUGAGAGAGCGGCGUACGGGUGCGUAACACGUGUGCAACCUGCCUUUAUCUGGGGGAUAGCCUUUCGAAAGGAAGAUUAAUACUCCAUAAUAUAUUGAACGGCAUCGUUUAAUAUUGAAAGCUCCGGCGGAUAGAGAUGGGCACGCGCAAGAUUAGUUAGUUGGUGAGGUAACGGCUCACCAAGGCGAUGAUCUUUAGGGGGCCUGAGAGGGUGAUCCCCCUCACUGGGACUGAGACACGGACCAGACUCCUACGGGAGGCAGCAGUGAGGAAUAUUGGACAAUGGGUGCAAGCCUGAUCCAGCCAUCCCGCAUGAAGGACGACUGCCCUAUGGGUUGUAAACUUCUUUUGUAUAGGGAUAAACCUACCCUCGUGAGGGUAGCUGAAGGUACUAUACGAAUAAGCACCGGCUAACUCCGUGCCAGCCGCCGCCGUAA
This 495-nucleotide ribosomal RNA is filed under the name uncultured bacterium. RNAcentral describes it as "partial 16S ribosomal RNA". It matches the Rfam family "Bacterial small subunit ribosomal RNA", at positions 28 to 523 of the family's 1533-position model. The record is from RNAcentral.